CCUACGGGGGGCUGCAGUGGGGAAUAUUGCACAAUGGGCGCAAGCCUGAUGCAGCCAUGCCGCGUGUGUGAAGAAGGCCUUCGGGUUGUAAAGCACUUUCAGCGGGGAGGAAGGCGUUAAGGUUAAUAACCUUGGCGAUUGACGUUACCCGCAGAAGAAGCACCGGCUAACUCCGUGCCAGCAGCCGCGGUAAUACGGAGGGUGCAAGCGUUAAUCGGAAUUACUGGGCGUAAAGCGCACGCAGGCGGUCUGUCAAGUCGGAUGUGAAAUCCCCGGGCUCAACCUGGGAACUGCGUUCGAAACUGGCAGGCUAGAGUCUUGUAGAGGGGGGUAGAAUUCCAGGUGUAGCGGUGAAAUGCGUAGAGAUCUGGAGGAAUACCGGUGGCGAAGGCGGCCCCCUGGACAAAGACUGACGCUCAGGUGCGAAAGCGUGGGGAGCAAACAGGAUUAGAUACCCCGGUAGUC
This 465-nucleotide ribosomal RNA is filed under the name uncultured Klebsiella sp. Its description in RNAcentral is "bacterial SSU rRNA". It matches the Rfam family "Bacterial small subunit ribosomal RNA", at positions 338 to 795 of the family's 1533-position model. The record is from RNAcentral. Lineage: Bacteria; Pseudomonadati; Pseudomonadota; Gammaproteobacteria; Enterobacterales; Enterobacteriaceae.